GACAGAGGGUGCAAACGUUGUUCGGAAUUACUGGGCGUAAAGCGUGUGUAGGCGGUCCGCUAAGUCGGGUGUGAAAGCCCUGGGCUCAACCCAGGAAGUGCACUCGAAACUGGCGGGCUAGAGUACUGGAGAGGUUGGUGGAAUUCUCGGUGUAGAGGUGAAAUUCGUAGAUAUCGAGAGGAACACCGGUGGCGAAGGCGGCCAACUGGACAGAUACUGACGCUGAGACACGAAAGCGUGGGGAGCAAACAGG
RNAcentral lists this ribosomal RNA (253 nucleotides) under uncultured bacterium. RNAcentral's name for it is "partial 16S ribosomal RNA". It matches the Rfam family "Bacterial small subunit ribosomal RNA", at positions 524 to 776 of the family's 1533-position model. The record is from RNAcentral.